Molecule: long non-coding RNA, 702 nt
Organism: Rosa rugosa (rugosa rose)
Lineage: Eukaryota; Viridiplantae; Streptophyta; Magnoliopsida; Rosales; Rosaceae
Exons: 6
Source: RefSeq, a predicted model, not a curated record
CACACUCUCUCUCUCUCUCCCACUCGAAUCUCAGAGAGACCGACUGAGAGAUCUCGAAGUCUUCCUAUGGCUCUCUUAGACCAGCAUCAUGGAUGAUCCUGGUUGCCGACCUACGCCGCUAAAGCUACACACUUGAAUCAAAACAAUAUCUUCUUUCUCGUCUAAUUCAAGUUGUUGUUGGGUUGCCUAAAAUACACCGGCACUCUCUUUCUCACCUUUAUCAGUCAAUCAAUCAGGAGCUGUCAAGUUGAUAGCUGGAAAUUGGAAUCAGUUAUAGAUCUUUGAAACAAAGGCAAGUACUGAGGUUUCCUUUUACUCAUCACCUUAAUUUGCUUCAUUUAUUCUGUUACUUGCAAUAUAAGGGUGUUAGAUCGAUUAGUUUCAGGUCAGGAUUUGGCAAUGAAGAUGAAUCCCAACUGCUAACAGGUAACGAGCCCCUGCGUUUUAUUUCCUUUCAAGCUACUGGCUUACCAUUUGAGAUUCUUGAGAGGAUAUUUAUUGGGCAGGAGCACAUCAGUCAGAGGAGUUUGUGUAGUCUUGGUUGUAUUCAGUAGAAGAUAUCCAGUGAGAAAAAAUGUACCCAUUAGAAUAGAAUGUUUUUAUUUUCAUUUGUAGGAUAUUUUUAAGCUUUUUAGUAUAGGUAUGGAUUAUGGAAUACUAUAUUGUAUUUGGUCACCUAUUAAUACAUUUUCGGCUGUGGUA